UGAGCUAGGCCAAAAACUAAACCUGUGCAUCAAACACUUUGCCAAGUUGUGAAGGCAGAGGAAGAGUUCUUGAAGAAAUUUACAAAUGCUACUCUAGCAAACACACAAAUGAUAAGAAAGCCAAACAGCCUUGUUGCUAAUAGGGAGAAAGUCUGAGUGGUCUGGAUAGAAGGUCAAACAAGCCACAAGUCCUCUUAAACCGAAGCCUAAUUCAGAGUGUGGCCCUGACUGUCGUCGAUUUUACAAAGGCUGAGAGAUGAGGAAGGUGCAGAAGAAAAGUCUGAAGCUAAGAGAGGUUGGUUCAUGUGGUUUAAGAAAGAAGCCGUCUCCAUAAUGUAAAAGUACAAGAUGAAACAGCAAGUGCUGAUGUAGAAGCUGCAUCAGAAGGUCUAGAUAAGGUAAUUAAUGAAGGUGGGUACAGAUUUUCAAUGUAAGAUGAAGCAGCUUUAUAUUGGAAGAAGAUGCCAUCUAGGACUUUUGUAACUGGGGAGAAGUCAAUGCCUGGCUUCAAAGCUUCAGAGGACAGGCUGACUCUCUUGUUAGGGGCUAAUGCACCUGAUGAAUUCAAUGCUUAUUUAUCAUUCUGAAAGCCCCAGGGCUGUUAAGAAUGAUGCUAAAUCUACUCGACUGAUGCUCCUUAAAUGGAACAACCAAACCUGGGUGGCAACACAUCUACAACAGUUGUCUACAACAGUUUACUGAAUAUUUUAAGCCCACGAUGUCACCUACUGCAGAGCAAAAAAAAAAAAAAAAAAAAACUUAUUUCAAAACAUUACUGCUUACUGACUGUGCAUCUGGUCCUCCAAGAGCUCUGAUAAGAUGUACAAUGAGGUUAGUGUUUUCAUGCCUGCUAACACAACAUCCACCCUGCAGCCCACGGAUCAAGGAAUAAUUUUGACUUUUAAGCCUCAUUAUUUAAGAAAUACAUUUUAUAAACUAUAGCUGCCACAGAUGGUGAUUCCCUUGGUGGAUCUUGGCAAAGUGAAUUGAAAACUUUCUAGAAAGCAUUCAUCAUUCUAUAUGCUGUUAAGAACAUUUAUGAUUCAUAGAAUGAGGUCAAAAUAUCAACAUGAAUGGGAGUUUGGAAGAAAUUUAUUGUAACCCUCAUGAAUGAAUUUGAGGGGUUCAAGACUUCGGUGGACAAAGUAACAAUAGAUUUGGUGGAAAUAGCAAGAGAACUAGAAUUACAGGUGGAGCCUGAAGAUAUGACCGAAUUGCUGCAAACUUAUGAUAAAACUUUAACUGAUGAGGAGCUGUUACUUAUGGCUGAACAAAGAAAGUGGUUUCUUGAGAUGGCACCUGGUCCUGGUGAAUAUGCCGUGAAGACUGUUGAAAUGACAACAAAGGACUUAAAAUAUUACAUAAACUUAACUGAUAAAGCAAGCGACAAGGUUUGUUGGAAUUGACUCCGAUUUUGAAACAAGUUCUGUAGGUAAAAUGUUAUCAAACAGCAACAUAUGCUACAGAGAAAUUGUUCAUGAAAGGAAGAGUCAGUCCACACAGUGAAGUUCAUUGUUGUCUUCUUUUAAGAAAUUGCCACAGCCAUUCCAAUCUUCAGCAACCACCACCCUGAUCCGUCAGCAACAAUUAACAUAGAGGCAGGACUUCCAGCAGCCAAAACAUUCUGACUCUGUGAAAGCUCACGUAUUUUCAAAUAUGGCUCUAUUCUUUUUUUAAUCAUUUUUUUUUAAUUUAAAUUCCAGUUAGUUAGCCUACAGUGUAAUAGUAGUUUCAGGUGUAGAACUUAGUGAUUCAUUGCUUGCAUACAAUACCCAGUGCUCAUCACAAGUGCUCUCCUCAAUACCCAUCACCCAUUUAACCCAUCUCUCCCCCCACCUCCCCUCCAGUAAACCUCAGUGUGUUCUCUGUAGUUAGGAGUCUGCUUUGCGGUUUUCCCUCUAUGUUCGUUUGGUUUAUUUCUUCAGUUCCACAUAUCAGUGAAAAUCGUAUGGCAUUUGUCUUUCUCUGACUGAUUUACUUUGCUUAGCAUAAUACACUCUAGCUCCAUCCACAUCAUUGCAAAUGGCAAGAUUUCAUUAUUUUUGAUGGCUGAGUAAUAUUCUUUUGUAUUUAUAUACCACAUCUUCUUUAUCCAUUCUUCAGUCGAUGAAUGAAUUUGGGCUCUUUCCAUAAUUUGGCUAUUGUUAAUAACACUGCUAUCAAUACCAGCGUGCAUGUGUCCCUUCGAGUCAGUAUUUUUGUAUCCUUUGGGUAAAUGUGGUGCAAUUUCUGGGUCAUAAGGUAGUUCUCUUCUUAUUUUUGAAGAACCUCCAUACUGUUUUCCAGAGUGGCUGCACUGGUUUUGCAUUCUUGAUUUUUAAAAAAUCCUGUUUGGAAUAGGAAUUCAACUUGGAUGGUUGCAUUUUGUGGCCAGGAGGACAAAUUGAAGACCCAUAUAGUACUUCUGUUUUCUUUCCUUCCAUUUUCCACCAUAAUUUAUGGGCUACAGAUUGAAUUUAACCUACAUUGGAAUUAAAGGUUUUUUUCAUCCUUCCCAUUAGGAAAACCUUGGUGAUUCUUGUCCAAGAUUGUCACUUAUUAAAAAUAUUCUCCUCCAUAACUUAGACACAUAGAAAAUUUUACAGUUUAUUUAUUUUUUUAAAUUUUUUUUAACAUUUAUUUACUUUUGAGACAAAGAGAGACAGAGCAUGAACGGGGGAGGGUCAGAGAGAGAGAGGGAGACACAGAAUCUGAAACAGGCUCCAGGCUCUGAGCUGUCAGCACAGAGCCCAACGCGGGGCUCGGACUCACUAGCCUUGAGAUCAUGACCUGAGCUGAAGUCGGAUGCUUAACCGACUGAGCCACCCAGGUGCCCCGAAAAUUUUACAGUUUAAAUUCCUACUCACAGCUUAGUGUUUUGGCCUCCCAUCUCAUCAUAAUUGGAAAAAGAGUUAGAAUAUGAAAUGAAAGCAAAAUGACUGAAACAAUCUAUAGAUAUAAUUGGAAAUUAUCUAUUUAGGGAUGAAGACGUUUCUACUCGGAAUUAAGACAUUUCUACUUGUUACUAUUUAUAUAUUCAAAAUUAAUUAAGGAUGCAAGAGUCUCUUCCCAGCUAGACUCUGAGCACCUUCGGAACAGCAGCUAUCUCAGUCGGUUUGGUUAGCCCUCACCUACUCAGCAAAUGAAACGCAGAAAGUACUCAGUCUGUAUUUGUUUAAUUGUAGAAUAAAAUUGACUUAUUUAAAGUGUACUUUUCCUCUAAUUUAAAAACCUUUUAUUCUUCCAUAUAAUUUAUCUCAUUAUAUAGCAUAGAUGUUAAUUACCAUGUUACGUAAUGUAUCAUUUUGGGGAAAAAAAAGUUAGGAAAGCUGUCUGGUCAGGAUUGGUGCGUUGAAAAUCUGCAAAGUUUCCUUGUACACAAUCCACCUACCAGGUUUUUUUUCCUUUAUCAGUUGGUAGGAAUAGGAGGAUUUUUAUUGUUAAUUUUCAUUAAGGAAGAUGGUUAAUUUAAAUGGGAAACGGGUAUUAUAAUAUAAACACAAUCUCCUCCAACCCAGAAAUCCUCUCCACAUAGUUGAGAAGGAAGACGCUUUACUAUUGAAUAAGCAUUAAAACAGAAUGUGAUGUGUAUCUCAGGAGAUCAACUAACAGAUUGCAAAGACAGAACAUCCCCCACCCCCAAACCUUUUAUAUAACCAAGCAGGUACAACCCAUUACUUACAUGUUCUCAAAAUAAAAAAUAACUAGUUCUCAAAUAAGCGGUCUUGACAACACCAUUUGUCACAUACAGUUCAUCCCAACCUUACUUAGAAAUUGGGGUGACCAUCUGUGCUGUGUUUAUCCAGAGGAAAACCAAACUUUUCAUGUCUUUAUAACAUGAGACAGUUUUGCAACUGGAGCAAGCUGCACAGGGAAGUGACCCUCCCACAGAAAGUGGGAGAUAGUGGCGUUACCUUCCUUGAUGUUUACAUUUCAAACAGAUGGCUCUGAGUCCUUGAGAAAGAGUUUCCCAGAUUAUAAAGCUGACAAAAUGUUGAUCUAGUCUUCAAAGGGAUUUACAUACAUUUCAAAGGAGAUAGUACUUAAAGUUAUAAUUUUUCUAAGUAAAUACUCAAAGAAAAAGGAGGACAGGGAAAUCUCAUUUAUUUGCUAGAGAGAACAUUAAGCCUCCUGUAUUUCAUUUGUAUUUGUCCCUACAGUACCUACUAUCUGGCUACUUCAUGCAGUCCUUUAUGGGAGAUGAGUGGGGUGGCGAAGAGAGGGAGGGAGCACUGCUCUCAUCGCUCUCAUACCCUGCUUUGUUUGUUUGUCGUCGUUUUCUCCUGUUUCUGAAUGUUAACCUCAGCACUUGUUGGCCAAGCUGUGACUUGAAGUGACUACUGCCCUGCAAGUGGAAAAGACUCCUUUAAGUUUGUUCUUCCAGAUACUGGCAUGGGGAGAUGUCUGGGAACAGCUUUCUCAACUUCCUCUCCCUUGGUCUCAGGAGAGUCUAUAACAUAUUCCUGCUAAUUUAAACUUAAUAAAUGAAUCACGAAAAUAUAUAGAAUACUGGAUAAGUGGCCGAGUGACAGCAAGCAGGGGGCUUUCAACCAAGUAUGGAUAGAGUUCCCAGAAGACUUCAUCAGCAGGAAAGAAGCUCUAAUAAUGUGGAAUAGAAAUACCAGAAGACUCCUAUCAGCACAGCUGAAGACUGACCCUGGAGAUUGAUAUGUCUUCAUGCACUGGAGGCAAUUAGAGCAAACGGAUGAGAAGGGCCUGUUGGUAUUCAGGAGCAACAGUCUCAAGAACCCUGGGUGGGGGGCACAGUACUUCUGUAGGACUGCCUGACAGUGGGUAGUGCCAGUGGCAGAGGGCAUACAGGCGAAAGAAUUUCUGCCAUCACCACCAAAACCACACGCCCAUGUUUGGAUGCUGUAGACCUGAAAUAGCAGGAUAAGUGGAACAUGGAUGGGUGAGAUCCAUUGCACAGGCUUCUAGGUGCAGCUCUAAGCCAAGGGUCAACAGUGGAAAGUUGGAAGUCCAGGGUCUGAACUUAUCCUGUGUCUGAUAUAAAUGAGUCAUCCCACAUCAGCAAGUAAGCACCAUAUUAAUGGUUCAGUCUUAGAAGAUCCCAGGAAAGAAAUACUUGUGUUGUCCAGCAGGAGUGAUCUGAUCUGCUAGAACCAGAUCCGUGCCUAGAUCUGAAACCAUGCCUGGAUCUGGUAUCAGAUCCGUGCCUGGUCUCUUGGUGGUACGGGUCUGAAACAUGAAGGCAAAUGCAAGAAGAAACAGUUAAAGAAUUUAAAUAUUCUUUAUCUCUGAUUUAUUCUUAGAGAAGGGCUACUGAAGAAAAAAAGUAGAGUCAAGGGAUCACUGUUUCUUGUAACAAGCCUUGUACUAGUAUGUUAGUUUUUAAGUUCUAUACAUGUAUUACUUCAAAACAUAAAAAUUAAAAAAAUGAAUAUAUCAAAACAAAACAAAAUAAAGCCAAGUUGUAGUAUAUAGCCUUUUUUAUAAUCUGCCUUUUCUAUCUAAUGAUAUAUCUCGAACAUUUCCCCGUAUUCUCAUAAAAUAUGACUUGAUGAUUAAAUAGUAUUCUACCACACAGAUGUGCCAUAGCCAUAACUGACUUAACAAUUUUCUUACUUUGGGUAUUUAAGUGAUUUCCAGUUUGUCUUUGUGGAAUGGAAAUCAGCAGGAAUUCGGCACUUCCACAUUCGGUGUCCGAUGGACUUGCUAAAAAUGACUUUUCAUUCUGUCUGUUGCUUCCAGCCCUUGUUGUUUCUGGAAACUUGCUGUAUCAACCCUCUCCCCUAAUAGAUCUUAUUAUAUGACAGUGUAGCUAAGAGUGUGGCUGCAGCAAGCCAGGUGGACCUGGGUUCAAAUCAUAAACCUCCCAUUUUUCAGCUCUCAAAGACUCAGUGAUCUUAUAUUUAAAAAAGGAUUACUAUAAGGAUUAUAUGAAACAUUGUAUCUAAAUUUAUGGAGAUACCUAGUUGAUAAUGGUAUUAUCAUUUAUUGGCUCUUCUCUGACACCUAUUUAUUGAGUGUUUUAAUGUGGCAGGCCUUGUGAUGGGUGCUAAAGAUGCAAAGAUGGGAGAAACAAGCAAGCCCUGAUCUGUGACUAUUACAGUGUCACAUUAUAGAAAAUCAUCAAGCUAUUGCAUUUUAAAAAAUUCGGAAUUGCAGCUAUGCCAAAUGCCAAAGAAGAGAGAGACCUUGUGCAAUGCAGGCCUGUCAUAGGAGAUUUGAUACAGUCACAGAGUGGCCCUGCGUUUCAUAGGGAUAUCAGUCUGCCUUAUGAUUCUGGACAAAAAGAGAGGGCAGCAAGAAGAUUGGUAUCCUCCACCAGAAAACACAGUAUUUGGUUUAAGAUGUUGGGGUUUUUUGUUUGUUUUUUUGUUUUGUUUUGUUUUGUUUUGUUUUGUCUUCUGUGUUCAUUCUCACAGAACAGAAACUGUAUGCAUGUGACUUUGCAAUGAAACGGUGCAGACUGGGACCAGUGGGAAAUAUCUUUAACUCUUUCCUGCCCACUGUUCAUGGCCUUCAGUCAUCUUUCCUGUUUAUAGCAUCUGUGCUCUGAGAGCCUUUUCAUGUGCCUCCAGGAUGGACCAUUGUAAUGUGCUUCUUUGACUAAGGUCCGUUGUAUUCCAGCUUUACUAUGCCACUCUGGCUGUCUUUGAAUCUCUAGGGCUUGGCAGGGUACCUGACACAAAGCAGCUUCUCACAACAUGCAAAGCAGGUUGACUGAAAUCUAAUAUCAUAUUUCAGGGCAGGGCAGACAUCACCUGCCCAGGAAGAUGUAGGGAGGAAGGAAGGGACUUCUGGUCCCUGAAUAUACUAGAGCCCUAAGACAGUUCAGCGUAAAAAGGAGUGGAAGGAAAAUAUCAAGAGGCAGCUCCUAGAAAGGGUUCAAUGUAAAGGUGGGGAGGGAAUUCCAGACAGGGAGACAUGAGGUACAUGGGUAAAAAAGGAUAGCAACCUUAUCUGUAGUAGGAGUAUCAGUGUAUGGCUGUGCCAGGAGCAGGGAGAGGUUGGGGAGAGGCUGUUAGGGAGAUCAAUAGUAGAUGGCACUGGGAAAGUACUCGGAGCUGAGUUGUGAAAUACCUUCUGCCAUUAAUAUUAGAGACACAUUUAAAAUAAAACGCAUAGGCUGGAGAAAAGCAGAGAGCUUUAAAAAGAUAGAAUUUAAGUACUGCUAAUUAUCUGACAGCACAGAAAAAUAAUAGAGCAAAACAAAUCCUCCCAGCUGUGAUCAGCAUGCUUAAGGGUCUUGAACUUCACAAGCUGGCCAGGAACUAAAACUUCUGGGAUCUGAUAUCCUUGCUCCUGACCUUGCAAUUCCAGAGUUAAUAUUGUGUUCAGUGUCUGAAGGUAAAGGGAUCUUCAGACCAGAAAAAUAUUGUAUCUUCUUUUUUUUGUUAGUGAUUACUUUUUGUAUCUUUAUUUUUAAAAUAUGUAAACAGUAGGUUUUGUGACUUUACUUAAUGAAUAAACUCCUCAUUAACAAAUUUCUUCAUA
Molecule: long non-coding RNA, 7440 nt
Organism: Neofelis nebulosa (Clouded leopard)
Lineage: Eukaryota; Metazoa; Chordata; Mammalia; Carnivora; Felidae
Exons: 5
Source: RefSeq, a predicted model, not a curated record